AAUCUGCCCACUGAUUUAUUUUAAAGGGCUGCAGUAUAUUGACUGUACAAAGGUAGCAUAAUCAUUUGUCUCUUAAUUGGUGACUUGUAUGAAAGAUUGAAUGAAAUAUAAACUGUCUCAUUAUAAUUUGUAAAAUUUAAUUUUUUAGUAAAAAAGCUAAAAUUUAUUUAAAAGACGAGAAGACCCUAUAGAGUUUUAUAUUUUUUUUAAAAAUAAUAAAAUAUAAAUUUUUAAAUUAUAUUUAAUUAAAAUAUUUUGUUGGGGUGACAAAAAAAUUUAAUUAACUUUUUUUAAAAAUUUACAUUAAUUUAUGAAAAAAUGAUCCAUUAAUAAUGAUUAUAAGAAAAAAUUACCUUAGGGAUAACAGCGUAAUUUUUUUUUUUAGGUCAAAUAAGAAAAAAAGUUUGCGACCUCGAUGUUGGAUUAAGAUAAAAUUUAAAUGCAAAAGUUUAAAAUUUUGAUCUGUUCGAUCAUUAAAAUCUU
RNAcentral lists this ribosomal RNA (483 nucleotides) under Byasa alcinous. Its description in RNAcentral is "Atrophaneura alcinous partial 16S ribosomal RNA". It matches the Rfam family "Bacterial large subunit ribosomal RNA", at positions 1856 to 2597 of the family's 2925-position model. The record is from RNAcentral. Lineage: Eukaryota; Metazoa; Arthropoda; Insecta; Lepidoptera; Papilionidae.